This 492-nucleotide ribosomal RNA is filed under the name uncultured bacterium. RNAcentral describes it as "partial 16S ribosomal RNA". It matches the Rfam family "Bacterial small subunit ribosomal RNA", at positions 29 to 507 of the family's 1533-position model. The record is from RNAcentral.
AGUGAACGCUGGCGGUAGGCCUAACACAUGCAAGUCGAACGGCAGCACAGUAAGAGCUUGCUCUUACGGGUGGCGAGUGGCGGACGGGUGAGGAGUACAUCGGAAUCUACUUUUUCGUGGGGGAUAACGUAGGGAAACUUACGCUAAUACCGCAUACGACCUACGGGUGAAAGCAGGGGAUCUUCGGACCUUGCGCGAUUGAAUGCGCGGAUGUCGGAUUAGCUAGUUGGCGGGGUAAAGGCCCACCAAGGCGACGAUCCGUAGCUGGUCUGAGAGGAUGAUCAGCCACACUGGAACUGAGACACGGUCCAGACUCCUACGGGAGGCAGCAGUGGGGAAUAUUGGACAAAGGGCGCAAGCCUGAUCCAGCCAUACCGCGUGGGUGAAGAAGGCCUUCGGGUUGUAAAGACCUUUUGUUGGGAAAGAAAAGCAGCAGGUUAAUACCCCGCUGUUCUGACGGUACCCAAAGAAUAAGCACCGGCUAACUUCGUG